Molecule: long non-coding RNA, 450 nt
Organism: Corythoichthys intestinalis (scribbled pipefish)
Lineage: Eukaryota; Metazoa; Chordata; Actinopteri; Syngnathiformes; Syngnathidae
Exons: 3
Source: RefSeq, a predicted model, not a curated record
GUUGCCAGCUUGGCAUUAUUACAACGUUUUGUCCGCUUUUGUGUUUAUUCAUGUGUUAUCAUGGUUCUUGCCAGUAGUACUUCUUGUUUUCUGCCCGCCACCAGUGUCUUUCGUAACGAAUCGCAAGCGCCACAGCGGAGGAGAAGAAGAAAAAGCGGGCGGCGCCACUGCUUCAUGUGUAGUUGACUCUGCGACACCAAGACGCAAUGACUGUGGUGCGGAGUGGCCUCGCAUUCAUAUGGUGUCGGAGAAGACGAAAGGCAAAGACGCAAAACGUGGAAAUGUGCCUCCAAAGUGGAGGGAUUCGAUUGCGGGGGCUUGCUCUUCAUCCAUAUCAAUGGAACACUCCCGCGCCGAUAGCGUCAGCACUUGCACACGUUACGUUGGGUGUGCGCAGCGGUGCUUCUAAAUGGCUUUAAUUUACUGUUUUAAUCAUAUUUUUAAUUUAAA